AAGAGACAGCAGCAGCCACGGGAAUACAGAGGGUGCGAGCGUUAAUCGGAUUUACUGGGCGUAAAGCGUGCGUAGGCGGCUUCUUAAGUCGGAUGUGAAAUCCCUGAGCUUAACUUAGGAAUUGCAUUCGAUACUGGGAAGCUAGAGUAUGGGAGAGGAUGGUAGAAUUCCAGGUGUAGCGGUGAAAUGCGUAGAGAUCUGGAGGAAUACCGAUGGCGAAGGCAGCCAUCUGGCCUAAUACUGACGCUGAGGUACGAAAGCAUGGGGAGCAAACAGGAUUAGAUACCCGAGUAGUCCCUGUCUCUUAUAA
RNAcentral lists this ribosomal RNA (310 nucleotides) under uncultured bacterium. RNAcentral describes it as "partial 16S ribosomal RNA". It matches the Rfam family "Bacterial small subunit ribosomal RNA", at positions 503 to 809 of the family's 1533-position model. The record is from RNAcentral.